RNAcentral lists this ribosomal RNA (389 nucleotides) under uncultured bacterium. Its description in RNAcentral is "bacterial SSU rRNA". It matches the Rfam family "Bacterial small subunit ribosomal RNA", at positions 28 to 417 of the family's 1533-position model. The record is from RNAcentral.
AUUGAACGCUGGCGGCAUGCCUUACACAUGCAAGUCGAACGGUAAGGCCCUUUCGGGGGUACGACGAGCGGCGAACGGGUGAGUAACACGUGGGUGACCUGCCCUCAGCUCUGGGAUAAGCCUGGGAAACCGGGUCUAAUACUGGAUAUGACUCCAUGACGCAUGUUGUGGGGUGGAAAGCCUUGUGCGGCUGAGGAUGGGCCCGCGGCCUAUCAGCUUGUUGGUGGGGUGAUGGCCUACCAAGGCGACGACGGGUAGCCGGCCUGAGAGGGCGACCGGCCACACUGGGACUGAGACACGGCCCAGACUCCUACGGGAGGCAGCAGUGGGGAAUCUUGCGCAAUGGGCGAAAGCCUGACGCAGCGACGCCGCGUGAGGGAUGACGGCCU